This 253-nucleotide ribosomal RNA is filed under the name uncultured bacterium. Its description in RNAcentral is "partial 16S ribosomal RNA". It matches the Rfam family "Bacterial small subunit ribosomal RNA", at positions 524 to 776 of the family's 1533-position model. The record is from RNAcentral.
UACGUAGGGUGCAAGCGUUGUCCGGAAUUAUUGGGCGUAAAGAGCUCGUAGGCGGUUUGUUACGUCCGCUGUGAAAACCCAGGGCUUAACCCUGGGCUUGCAGUGGAUACGGGUAGACUAGAGGCAGGUAGGGGAGAAUGGAAUUCCCGGUGUAGCGGUGAAAUGCGCAGAUAUCGGGAGGAACACCGGUGGCGAAGGCGGUUCUCUGGGACGGUACUGACGCUGAGACGCGAAAGCGUGGGGAGCGAACAGG